RNAcentral lists this ribosomal RNA (253 nucleotides) under uncultured bacterium. Its description in RNAcentral is "partial 16S ribosomal RNA". It matches the Rfam family "Bacterial small subunit ribosomal RNA", at positions 524 to 776 of the family's 1533-position model. The record is from RNAcentral.
UACGUAGGUGGCAAGCGUUGUUCGGAAUUAUUGGGCGUAAAGGGCGCGUAGGCGGUUUGUUAAGUCGAAUGUGAAAGCCCCCGGCUCAACUGGGGAGGGUCAUUCGAUACUGAUCGACUUGAAGGCAGGAGAGGGAAGUGGAAUUCCGGGUGUAGUGGUGAAAUGCGUAGAUAUCCGGAGGAACACCAGUGGCGAAGGCGACUUCCUGGCCUGUUCUUGACGCUGAGGCGCGAAAGCUGGGGGAGCAAACGGG